Molecule: ribosomal RNA, 1485 nt
Filed under: uncultured bacterium
Lineage: Bacteria
Description: bacterial SSU rRNA
Rfam family: Bacterial small subunit ribosomal RNA
Source: RNAcentral
AGAGUUUGAUCCUGGCUCAGAUUGAACGCUGGCGGCAGGCCUAACACAUGCAAGUCGAACGGUAACAGGAAACAGCUUGCUGUUUCGCUGACGAGUGGCGGACGGGUGAGUAAUGUCUGGGAAACUGCCUGAUGGAGGGGGAUAACUACUGGAAACGGUAGCUAAUACCGCAUAACGUCGCAAGACCAAAGAGGGGGACCCUCGGGCCUCUUGCCAUCGGAUGUGCCCAGAUGGGAUUAGCUUGUUGGUGGGGUAACGGCUCACCAAGGCGACGAUCCCUAGCUGGUCUGAGAGGAUGACCAGCCACACUGGAACUGAGACACGGUCCAGACUCCUACGGGAGGCAGCAGUGGGGAAUAUUGCACAAUGGGCGCAAGCCUGAUGCAGCCAUGCCGCGUGUAUGAAGAAGGCCUUCGGGUUGUAAAGUACUUUCAGCGACUUCACCCCCCAUUUCCCAACACGACUUGACACUUGCCUCCCAUGCCAAUCUGGGGAUACAGAAUGCACCAUCCCUCACUGGACGCUUAUGUGCAUAUAAAGACCAGGUAACGUUCUUGCCGCCCAUGAAUUCAUUUGAUUUUCACCCGGUUUGUUAAGUCAGAUGUGAAAUCCCCGGGCUCAACCUGGGAACUGCAUCUGAUACUGGCAAGCUUGAGUCUCGUAGAGGGGGGUAGAUUUCAGGUGUAGCGGUGAAAUGCGUAGAGAUCUGGAGGAAUACCGGUGGCGAAGGCGGCCCCCUGGACGAAGACUGACGCUCAGGUGCGAAAGCGUGGGGAGCAAACAGGAUUAGAUACCCUGGUAGUCCACGCCGUAAACGAUGUCGACUUGGAGGUUGUGCCCUUGAGGCGUGGCUUCCGGAGCUAACGCGUUAAGUCGACCGCCUGGGGAGUACGGCCGCAAGGUUAAAACUCAAAUGAAUUGACGGGGGCCCGCACAAGCGGUGGAGCAUGUGGUUUAAUUCGAUGCAACGCGAAGAACCUUACCUGGUCUUGACAUCCACGGAAGUUUUCAGAGAUGAGAAUGUGCCUUCGGGAACCGUGAGACAGGUGCUGCAUGGCUGUCGUCAGCUCGUGUUGUGAAAUGUUGGGUUAAGUCCCGCAACGAGCGCAACCCUUAUCCUUUGUUGCCAGCGGUCCGGCCGGGAACUCAAAGGAGACUGCCAGUGAUAAACUGGAGGAAGGUGGGGAUGACGUCAAGUCAUCAUGGCCCUUACGACCAGGGCUACACACGUGCUACAAUGGCGCAUACAAAGAGAAGCGACCUCGCGAGAGCAAGCGGACCUCAUAAAGUGCGUCGUAGUCCGGAUUGGAGUCUGCAACUCGACUCCAUGAAGUCGGAAUCGCUAGUAAUCGUGGAUCAGAAUGCCACGGUGAAUACGUUCCCGGGCCUUGUACACACCGCCCGUCACACCAUGGGAGUGGGUUGCAAAAGAAGUAGGUAGCUUAACCUUCGGGAGGGCGCUUACCACUUUGUGAUUCAUGACUG